RNAcentral lists this long non-coding RNA (435 nucleotides) under Homo sapiens (human). RNAcentral's name for it is "non-protein coding lnc-IMPA2-1:1". Lineage: Eukaryota; Metazoa; Chordata; Mammalia; Primates; Hominidae. The record is from RNAcentral.
UGGUUGUGCAGGGCCAUGUGUGAAGACAGCAUGAGUCUUAACCCCUCUUUUAUUUUAUUUUUGAGACAGAGUCUCGCUCUGUUGCCCAGGCUGGAGUGCUGUGGCGCGAUCUCUGCUCACUGCAACCUCCACCUCCCGGGUUCAAGUGAUUCUCCUGCCUCAGCCUGCCGAGUAGCUGGAAUUACAGGCAUGAGCCACUGCACCUGGCCUUAACCCCUCUUUAGAUUGGAAAAAAUAAUUACAACUUUAAAAAUAGCUUAGUGUUGAACCCUUUGGUAAACUAAAGACCCUUUUAUAAUGCACAUAUUCCCAACAAAAUUAAUAUAUUUUGUGAGAUUAAACAAUGCUUGUAUAUGCUUGAACUUUCUUAAAAUAUGUCCAUGUCAUACUAUUAUGAAUGUACAUUUUUAUGAGUCAUAAAUAUUAUUUUCAAAA